Molecule: long non-coding RNA, 239 nt
Organism: Hibiscus syriacus
Lineage: Eukaryota; Viridiplantae; Streptophyta; Magnoliopsida; Malvales; Malvaceae
Exons: 3
Source: RefSeq, a predicted model, not a curated record
ACCAACGAUAAAAGACAAGACGAAAGAACUGGAAAAUAUGGAACUUCAAGGCUCCAAUAUCUUCAGGAAUUGGUGAAUCAGUUUCAGAACACAACUGAUGAAGGUAUGCUUCAUCUUUAGAGCUUCCGUCGUUGCUUAUAAACAAAGGAGAAGAUUGCUGCAAAUUUGGCAAACUUUGCCUAUGAUCCAUAUAAUUAUUCAUUCCUGCGUCAGGUUCAAAUUCAUGUUUUCUGUGAAAU